GUCCAUAUGGCGGAAUUUGGCAGACGCGCGUGAUUUAGGCUCACGUGCUGAAAGGCAUGAGAGUUCAAAUCUCUCUAUGGACA
Molecule: transfer RNA, 83 nt
Filed under: Ruminococcus sp. AM40-10AC
Lineage: Bacteria; Bacillati; Bacillota; Clostridia; Eubacteriales; Oscillospiraceae
Description: tRNA-Leu
Rfam family: tRNA
About the family: Transfer RNA (tRNA) molecules are approximately 80 nucleotides in length. Their secondary structure includes four short double-helical elements and three loops (D, anti-codon, and T loops).
Source: RNAcentral